AAUGAUCUAGUGUGACGCAUUGUACAUAACCAAAAACCGAAGCCAGAGAGGCGAAAUGACCAGCUCAAAACCAAACACGAGCCUCAUUGUCCACGCUAGAGCAGAGGGCUCCUGACUCCAGGGGCUUCCCAGGUCAUACACAUGGACUCCUGCAUUAUCCUGCGACGGUGAAUCUUACAAAGAGCAGAAUUUAGAAAGCAGUGUGCUCCAAUUUAAAAAAGAAAAGCUGUGCGGAGUGCAUCCAGGGAAACA
RNAcentral lists this long non-coding RNA (252 nucleotides) under Sus scrofa (pig). RNAcentral describes it as "lncRNA (ENSSSCG00015058681.1)". The record is from RNAcentral. Lineage: Eukaryota; Metazoa; Chordata; Mammalia; Artiodactyla; Suidae.